UUCUGCAUUAGCUGAAAUAUGUUCUCUACAAGUAGGAGCAGAAUUUUAAGUACUAUAGUAAUGACUGCACAGGUAAGCUAGAAAUAAAACGAUGUGCACAACCGAGUAGUGAUAUAGCAGUAUCAGCAAGCAGAGAAUAGGAAUACGUAGUGUUCUGUCUACUCUACAAUAUAUACAGUGUAUUCAGAUAUCGACUAGAAAGAGUAACAUCAACAUAUCUUCGAUGCGACAUCUCAUGAGAUGUCAAACAUACUCAUCCUUGGCAACAUGCUCCCAAUCGGAUGAAGAAUUAUCAUACAAACCUGAUGAGUGGUGAUUUCCCAGUCUGGCCUUCCUAUUUGAAUGGACAAUUGGAUCAUCCGCGACAGAGAGAAGAAACUGUUUCAUGGAGUCAUAUCCAGAACCAUCCGUGUAAGACCCAAAGGAGUUAUAUCCUUCACUGGAAUUAAUACUGUGAUGAUAAAAGUAAGGAUCGAUGACCACAUUUGCUCUCUGAUCGUUUGAUACUUCUCCAUUUAUCAUUCCGUGAUUCUCCAUAUCUGCAGAACCAGCAGCAACCAUGUUCAGAUCUUUUUUAACCUCCAUAAACGGUGAAUUCAGGUUGUCCCCCCGGCGUGUUAAUACAUUGAAUCUUGCCAUAACAGAAUCCUCGGCAUCAUUAGUGACCAUAUCUGGAUCCUUUGUCUCCUCCAUGAAAGAUGAAUUCAAGUUGUCUUCCCGCUGUCUUAAGAUGUUGAGUCUCACCUUAACAGAAUCCUCAGCAUCAUUGGCAAUCACAUCCUGAUCCUUUUUCUCUCCCAUGAAAGAUGAUUUCAAGUUCUCUUCCCGUCGUCUUAGGAUGUUGAAUCUUUCCAUAACAGAAUCCUCAGUGUCACUGGAAACUAUAUCAGAGGCUUUUUUCUCUUGCAUGAAUGAUGAACUGAAGUUGUUUCCCUGUUUCCUUAGGAUAUUUAGUUUCAUUGUAACAGAAUCCUCAGAAUCACUGCCAACCUUAACAGAAUCAUUUUCCUCUUUCAUAAAAAAUGAUGAAUUCAGCUUCUCUUCCCUUCUGUUUAAAAUAUUGAAUCUCUCCAUUAAAGAAUAGUCAACGUGGACAUUUUUGCUUGAAGUAGAGGGACUCUGAGAGGAAAUCUUUGACGCUGAGUCAUUUUUAGCUUCAGGUGCCACCGAGGAAUUCAAGUUUAAGUCUUGGCUGAAUCUAUGCUUCUCCAUUUCAAUCUUCAUACGGUCAAAACGAGAUUUAUAGCUUAAAGAACAUAACUUUGCUUCAGCUUCAAGCCAUAAGUUCUUGAAAAGAAGGGCUUGGGGCUGCAUUCCUUCAUCAGAGAGAAAGUUCUCAUUGAGGACUUUCUUUAUAGCCUGGACCACUUGUUCUUCAUUUGAAUCUCCCAAGUCAUCUGCAGAAGUUAGAAGGGGUGAAUUCUCAGUUUUCUUACCAUUGUUCUUGCUCUUAUCUUCAGGCAUGGGCUGAUUAUCGAGGCCACAAGAAUCCCGAGCAACUUCUUCCAUAAACUGAGGGUUGCCUGUCUCAGUGCCCAUAUAAGAGCGGUGAGAUUCUUUGAGCCUUUCAAAAGUGUCAUGCUCGGUAACCAUUGUAUCUUUUGUUUCAAUCUUCUUAACAGUACAUGCACCCAGAUUGGUAAUUGCACUCUUAAGGGUGUCAUAGUCUUGACCCUCCAGUAGACAUGCAUUAGGCAAGCAUUGAGAUUUAAGUAGUUCCGAAAGGUUAUGAAUUGCAUGCACAAGUGUUUGAACAUCCAGCUUUGGACUUGAUCCCAUUUGAUAUGGUUGGGCCUGCUUGGCAUCUUCUUGAGAAGCUGGCGAGCGUAAAACAUUUUCUGCAGCAUCUAGUGCAACUACUCCACCUUCUAAUGUGUCAUUGAGGUUCAAACCAGUGUGCAUAUAACCUUCAGGCAAAUUAUGCUUUUUGGGUCCAUAUUGGUGGCAAUCAACACUAAGGUGCUCGCCCCAGGAAUAUUGUUUUUGACAAUCAUUUUCAGAGUACUGAGGUAGACUAUAUCCUUUGCUAGGCUUGUUCAGAUCUUCAGAAAAUUUAAGUAUCACACCAUUGCUGGACAGAUCCACAGGCACAAAUGUUCCUUUUGUGACAUCAAUGGUCCUGAGUUCUUCGGUGGUGUAGUUAUUAGUAACAGUGCCUACUGAAGGAACAGAAAGACCAUUUCCAGCAUAUACAUUAUGGUUAUGCAGAUUUUCCUCACCGAGUUUCUUUAAGGAAGUUUUCCCUGAAUAUUCUGCUGGAG
RNAcentral lists this unclassified non-coding RNA (2261 nucleotides) under Hevea brasiliensis (rubber tree). Lineage: Eukaryota; Viridiplantae; Streptophyta; Magnoliopsida; Malpighiales; Euphorbiaceae. The record is from RNAcentral.